UACGUAGGGUGCAAGCGUUGUCCGGAAUCAUUGGGCGUAAAGGGCGCGUAGGUGGCCCGGUCAGUCUUUGGUGAAAGCGCGGGGCUCAACCCUGCGUCGGCCAGGGAUACUGCCGCGGCUCGAGCACUGUAGAGGCAGGCGGAAUUCCGGGUGUAGCGGUGGAAUGCGUAGAGAUCCGGAAGAACACCGGUGGCGAAGGCGGCCUGCUGGGCAGUUUAGCUGACACUGAGGCGCGACAGCGUGGGGAGCAAACAGGG
Molecule: ribosomal RNA, 257 nt
Filed under: uncultured bacterium
Lineage: Bacteria
Description: partial 16S ribosomal RNA
Rfam family: Bacterial small subunit ribosomal RNA
Source: RNAcentral